Perca fluviatilis (European perch) is the source of this 98-nucleotide long non-coding RNA. RefSeq lists it as uncharacterized. The record is from RefSeq and is a predicted model, not a curated record. Lineage: Eukaryota; Metazoa; Chordata; Actinopteri; Perciformes; Percidae. The transcript is spliced from 3 exons.
AGCUGUCAUUGUUCUGUCUGUUAAAAACAGGAAACUUCAGAAAGCUGCUAAAGAAGAACUGCAUCCUGAAAGAAACAAGAAUGUGGGCUCUGAUGAUC